GACGAACGCUGGCGGCGUGCUUAACACAUGCAAGUCGAACGGAAAGGCCCUGCUUUUGUGGGGUGCUCGAGUGGCGAACGGGUGAGUAGCACGUGAGUAACCUGCCCUUGACUUUGGGAUAACUUCAGGAAACUGGGGCUAAUACCGGAUAGGAGCUCCUGCUGCAUGGUGGGGGUUGGAAAGUUUCGGCGGUUGGGGAUGGACUCGCGGCUUAUCAGCUUGUUGGUGGGGUAGUGGCUUACCAAGGCUUUGACGGGUAGCCGGCCUGAGAGGGUGACCGGCCACAUUGGGACUGAGAUACGGCCCAGACUCCUACGGGAGGCAGCAGUGGGGAAUAUUGCACAAUGGGCGGAAGCCUGAUGCAGCAACGCCGCGUGCGGGAUGACGGCCUUCGGGUUGUAAACCGCUUUCGCCUGUGACGAAGCGUGAGUGACGGUAAUGGGUAAAGAAGCACCGGCUAACUACGUGCCAGCAGCCGCGGUGAUACGUAGGGUGCGAGCGUUGUCCGGAUUUAUUGGGCGUAAAGGGCUCGUAGGUGGUUGAUCGCGUCGGAAGUGUAAUCUUGGGGCUUAACCCUGAGCGUGCUUUCGAUACGGGUUGACUUGAGGAAGGUAGGGGAGAAUGGAAUUCCUGGUGGAGCGGUGGAAUGCGCAGAUAUCAGGAGGAACACCAGUGGCGAAGGCGGUUCUCUGGGCCUUUCCUGACGCUGAGGAGCGAAAGCGUGGGGAGCGAACAGGCUUAGAUACCCUGGUAGUCCACGCUGUAAACGGUGGGUACUAGGUGUGGGGUCCAUUCCACGGGUUCCGUGCCGUAGCUAACGCUUUAAGUACCCCGCCUGGGGAGUACGGCCGCAAGGCUAAAACUCAAAGGAAUUGACGGGGCCCCGCACAAGCGGCGGAGCAUGCGGAUUAAUUCGAUGCAACGCGUAGAACCUUACCUGGGUUUGACAUGGAUCGGGAGUGCUCAGAGAUGGGUGUGCCUCUUUUGGGGUCGGUUCACAGGUGGUGCAUGGCUGUCGUCAGCUCGUGUCGUGAGAUGUUGGGUUAAGUCCCGCAACGAGCGCAACCCUUGUUCACUGUUGCCAGCACGUUAUGGUGGGGACUCAGUGGAGACCGCCGGGGUCAACUCGGAGGAAGGUGGGGAUGACGUCAAGUCAUCAUGCCCCUUAUGUCCAGGGCUUCACGCAUGCUACAAUGGCUGGUACAGAGAGUGGCGAGCCUGUGAGGGUGAGCGAAUCUCGGAAAGCCGGUCUCAGUUCGGAUUGGGGUCUGCAACUCGACCUCAUGAAGUCGGAGUCGCUAGUAAUCGCAGAUCAGCAACGCUGCGGUGAAUACGUUCCCGGGGCU
This 1346-nucleotide ribosomal RNA is filed under the name uncultured bacterium. RNAcentral's name for it is "partial 16S ribosomal RNA". It matches the Rfam family "Bacterial small subunit ribosomal RNA", at positions 28 to 1381 of the family's 1533-position model. The record is from RNAcentral.